UGGUGGGUAGUUUGACUGGGGCGGUCUCCUCCUAAAGAGUAACGGAGGAGCACGAAGGUUGGCUAAUCCUGGUCGGACAUCAGGAGGUUAGUGCAAUGGCAUAAGCCAGCUUGACUGCGAGCGUGACGGCGCGAGCAGGUGCGAAAGCAGGUCAUAGUGAUCCGGUGGUUCUGAAUGGAAGGGCCAUCGCUCAACGGAUAAAAGGUACUCCGGGGAUAACAGGCUGAUACCGCCCAAGAGUUCAUAUCGACGGCGGUGUUUGGCACCUCGAUGUCGGCUCAUCACAUCCUGGGGCUGAAGUAGGUCCCAAGGGUAUGGCUGUUCGCCAUUUAAAGUGGUACGCGAGCUGGGUUUAGAACGUCGUGAGACAGUUCGGUCCCUAUCUGCCGUGGGCGCUGGAGAACUGAGGGGGGCUGCUCCUAGUACGAGAGGACCGGAGUGGACGCAUCACUGGUGUUCGGGUUGUCAUGCCAAUGGCACUGCCCGGUAGCUAAAUGCGGAAGAGAUAAGUGCUGAAAGCAUCUAAGCACGAAACUUGCCCCGAGAUGAGUUCUCCCUGAGACUUAGAGUCUCCUGAAGGAACGUUGAAGACGACGACGUUGAUAGGCCGGGUGUGUAAGCGCAGCGAUGCGUUGAGCUAACCGGUACUAAUGAACCGUGAG
This 662-nucleotide ribosomal RNA is filed under the name Salmonella enterica subsp. enterica serovar Infantis. RNAcentral describes it as "partial 23S ribosomal RNA". It matches the Rfam family "Bacterial large subunit ribosomal RNA", at positions 2259 to 2915 of the family's 2925-position model. RNAcentral also lists the same sequence under 2 other names. Lineage: Bacteria; Pseudomonadati; Pseudomonadota; Gammaproteobacteria; Enterobacterales; Enterobacteriaceae. The record is from RNAcentral.